AACAGAUAAGGAGCUUGCUCCUUUGACGUUAGCGGCGGACGGGUGAGUAACACGUGGGUAACCUACCUAUAAGACUGGGACAACUUCGGGAAACCGGAGCUAAUACCGGAUAAUAUGUUGAACCGCAUGGUUCAAUAGUGAAAGAUGGUUUUGCUAUCACUUAUAGAUGGACCCGCGCCGUAUUAGCUAGUUGGUGAGGUAACGGCUCACCAAGGCAACGAUACGUAGCCGACCUGAGAGGGUGAUCGGCCACACUGGAACUGAGACACGGUCCAGACUCCUACGGGAGGCAGCAGUAGGGAAUCUUCCGCAAUGGGCGAAAGCCUGACGGAGCAACGCCGCGUGAGUGAUGAAGGUCUUAGGAUCGUAAAACUCUGUUAUUAGGGAAGAACAAACGUGUAAGUAACUGUGCACGUCUUGACGGUACCUAAUCAGAAAGCCACGGCUAACUACGUGCCAGCAGCCGCGGUAAUACGUAGGUGGCAAGCGUUAUCCGGAAUUAUUGGGCGUAAAGCGCGCGUAGGCGGUUUUUUAAGUCUGAUGUGAAAGCCCACGGCUCAACCGUGGAGGGUCAUUGGAAACUGGAAAACUUGAGUGCAGAAGGGGAAAGUGGAAUUCCAUGUGUAGCGGUGAAAUGCGCAGAGAUAUGGAGGAACACCAGUGGCGAAGGCGACUUUCUGGUCUGUAACUGACGCUGAUGUGCGAGAGCGUGGGGAUCAAACAGGAUUAGAUACCCUGGUAGUCCACGCCGUAAACGAUGAGUGCUAAGUGUUAGGGGGUUUCCGCCCCUUAGUGCUGCAGCUGAACGCAUUAAGCAC
This 818-nucleotide ribosomal RNA is filed under the name uncultured Staphylococcus sp. Its description in RNAcentral is "bacterial SSU rRNA". It matches the Rfam family "Bacterial small subunit ribosomal RNA", at positions 68 to 867 of the family's 1533-position model. Lineage: Bacteria; Bacillati; Bacillota; Bacilli; Caryophanales; Staphylococcaceae. The record is from RNAcentral.